GAACUAAGUGGGAAUUUUAAUUAGCAGAUAAAAUUGCAACCAACAAAAUAAAUUAUUACAAAUAUACCUCAACUUUCUUCAUAUUGAACCAUAUAUACCAUGUAAUUGACAAAUUUUGAAGAAGAGGAAUAGGGAAAAACAAAACAUAACUUAAUUAAUUAAAGAAAUGAUAGGACUAGUUACUAAUUAUGCCACAACUUGCAACAUAUAUAGUAAUAAUAUAAUUAUGGUAUUACAUAAAUAGUAGUCUUUGUUCACCAUUUCUCUAAUUAAUUACUCAGCCAACUAAAAUCUUAUAGUAUUUGGGCCGUAGCAAUUUAACUCAAUAACUUUCUUCAUGGACUCUUCCUUGGUUCUCUUGAUCUUGUUGGAAACAGCAGCAUUAGAAGCAGAAGACAAUUUCCUAGCUUGUGUGUAUGAUCUUAUGUUGUUCUUUGCAUAUUGUUGGAUUGAUCUGAAAGCAUAGUUCCAUCUACAAACACCCAAUUGAUCUUUCAAUGCUUCCACUGCUCCUAUGCUUGAUGCUACAAUCCAAGCUUUACUUGAUGCACUCAUGUUGUUAUAUAGGAUAUUGUACAAAAGAGAGAGAUAUAGAGAAAGAGAGAUCUAUGUGUUUUUGAUUUGAUGGUGAUUUGGGUAUGUGUAUAUUGAUCCUUAUAUAUAUGAGGUUAGGAGAGUGAUUUGUUAGAAGUAAGAAACUAGGGGCAAUUUUGGGGUGAAACCAGAAAAGAAUAGGUAAAACCAGGGGCUAUUACAACUUGUGGCACCAAUAGUUUGGUAAGGAAUCUUGGAUCUUGG
RNAcentral lists this long non-coding RNA (798 nucleotides) under Lupinus angustifolius (narrow-leaved blue lupine). RNAcentral's name for it is "long non-coding RNA (LANG_LNC001509)". Lineage: Eukaryota; Viridiplantae; Streptophyta; Magnoliopsida; Fabales; Fabaceae. The record is from RNAcentral.